Molecule: ribosomal RNA, 460 nt
Filed under: uncultured bacterium
Lineage: Bacteria
Description: partial 16S ribosomal RNA
Rfam family: Bacterial small subunit ribosomal RNA
Source: RNAcentral
CCUACGGGAGGCAGCAGUGAGGAAUAUUGGUCAAUGGGCGCGAGCCUGAACCAGCCAAGUAGCGUGAAGGAUGACUGCCCUACGGGUUGUAAACUUCUUUUAUAAAGGAAUAAAGUGAGGCACGUGUGCCUUUUUGUAUGUACUUUAUGAAUAAGGAUCGGCUAACUCCGUGCCAGCAGCCGCGGUAAUACGGAGGAUCCGAGCGUUAUCCGGAUUUAUUGGGUUUAAAGGGAGCGUAGAUGGGUUGUUAAGUCAGUUGUGAAAGUUUGCGGCUCAACCGUAAAAUUGCAAUUGAUACUGGCUGUCUUGAGUACAGUUGAGGUAUGCGGAAUGCGUGGUGUAGCGGUGAAAUGCUUAGAUAUCACGAAGAACUCCGAUUGCGAAGGCAGCUUACUAAACUGCCACUGACAUUGAUGCUCGAAAGUGUGGGUAUCAAACAGGAUUAGAUACCCGGGUAGUC